CGUAUCCGCAGCUGCGAGCGAUCGUUGCACGUGUGCGCUCAUCUAACGCCGUCUGGCCAGGAGAGAGACCGCAGGCGUGUCCGAAGCACGAAGAAACACAGUGCUCACUCUCCCACCGACACAGUGAAGAAGGGGUGGAGUGCCGUCAUGAAGAGCAGCCGAUCACACGUCUCCUCCUCGCCACCACGCGAGCGCCCUCUGCCCUCCUCCAGCGCUGAGCCCGGCGCGGCAGGCGACCCUGCUGCCACGGCAACGGCAGCAGCGACGAGCCUUCUGUCCCGCCUCCAGCGUGUCGCCACCACUGGAUCACACGCAGCCGUGGAAGACGCGGAGCUUUCGGAGCUGCCGCUGCUAUGGGCCGCCAUCGAGUCAUCCGUGUCGAUGGCCACUGCAGCAGCAUUAUCGUCAUGUGCACCGUCGUCGGCAUCGACGUCGCCUGUGGCAGUUGCGGACACGCUGCACGAAGGGCCACACGCGCGAUUCAUUACAGAGACAACGGCGAUGCUCUGGGGCGGCGACUACCCGUCGUGGAUGGUGCAGCAGUGGGUGCGCUUGGGCGACGUCGAAGACGACGAAGAGGAUGGAAGCACUGAUGAAGCGGCGGUGGCGGUCGAGCCCGGUGGCAGUAGCGCGACAGGCGUCGCCAACGUCGAGACAGCGGCCGCGACGGCACUCGGGCGCGAAGAAAUCGAGGGGACGCACGGUGAGAGUUUCGUCGAGCCUCAGCUGAGCGGCCAGGGCGCCCAUCUGCCCCACCCACCGCCGAGUCGCCACAGUGAAGCAGAGAGGGUAGAAGCGGCGGCGAGUGCUGUUGUGAGUAGUAGCAACGCGCCGGUGCCGGUGCCGUCACCGAGCUGGACGUUCAUGAUGCAGCAGGCGCUCGAGGCGCUGCAGCUCCGCCUGCCGCUCCACCACGACUACCCUCCACCACAGCUGCAACUGGCGUCAACUGGAGAGGCGCCUGUCACGACCCUCGCCGAGCACCUCGUGCAGGAUGCCCCGCUGCUGUGGCUGCGCUACCUGCUUGUCCCUAUGUACACGCAGUGGACACAGCAGCGCGCUGCUGCCCCUCCUGCUGUAGGCGCCGCGGCAACAACCACGACGGCACCAAUACCGUCAUCCUCGUCGUCGCGGUCCGCCACGACGGUCCUUGAGCGUGACGGCUCCGUCACCAUGCACGAGCUGCUCGGUGCUCUUGGCAAAGCCAGCGUGCGCGAGGCACUGCGUAAGGAGCAGUCGUGGUCGGACGACCUCGUCCAGCUGGUGGCUGCCGCAGCAGCAGCGCCGCCAUCUGACGCGUCAGCGACGCUGAAGGCACUAAACGGACGCCAGGCGGCGAUGCGCGAUCAGCAGCGGCAGCACACCGGGGAGAUGCUGUAUUUCACUGGCGCCCUUGCCAAGGCAGCGCAGUCCUUCAUGGUGCUCGGCCAAGGCGGCUACGCCAUCCUCGCCUGCCUCAUCAUACGACUGCUCGGCCGCGCGAGAGCUGCAUGGGCAGAGUGGGCGAGUUCGCUGACGGAGGCAGACGUUCAGCGCGCAGCUCAGGUGGUAUACCGCUGCGGGGGUCACGAGACGCGCGCCGACUGCGACAGCAGCAGCAGCAGUAGUGUGAUGGCAGAGGAUAAUGCAGAGGAGAAGGCGCCUGCUGAGAAGCGCAUCCGAGUUGAGCCGCCACCGCGACGCAGCGCGCCGCGCAGUGGCGUCCCGCGCAUCACCGCUGUGGAGUCAUUCGCGGCCCUGCGUGCUGCUGUGAGCUCGGCGGCGCAACGGCAGGCGCACCUGGUGUGGCGGUGCUGGUACGUCCUCCACGGCUACUACGGCGCGGACCUCUACACAAGCGAAGUGCUGGCGCGUGCUUUGGAAGAGGAAGACCUGGAGAAGGCGGGCGUGCGUCGGCUGGCGGCGGCGCAGCAGGCGCACUGGCGUCGACUGCGGCUCGCGGCAGACGUGAAGCAGCACGCGCUAUCCGAGACGCACUGGCUGUGGUGCUCCACGCUGCUCGCCUCGGUAGAGACGACGCUGAUGGCAGCACUGAGCGAAAAGCGCGCCGACGAACACGCGCCGGUCGGAGCAUGCGCCACUGAACUCUUGUACAGACGGCUCCUGGAGGGCACCGUUCGUGCCUUCACUGCAGAGCUGCGCGACACGCUACGUGUGUACGGAGAGGCUGCUCUCGCCCUCCGCAGCGGCGGCCUGCACAGCUCCACCUUCACGGUCCCCUCCGCUCUGCAGACGGUGGCGCACAACGUGGUCGCGCUGCAGGAUGCAUUUUCUCAGUGCUUGGCUGCAUCUCUAGAACAUGCACCCGCCGCCGCCAUGGGCCCGCAUCAGAGAAAGUCAGGGCUGCACACCCAGGCCGGUGUGUACCUGUGGCAGCUGUACCCGACGCUGCUGCGAGUGCAGGUACCUGAGGAGGCGUCGUGGAUGAGCACCACUGGCACAGAGCAGGCCGGCGACACCCUUGGAGCGAGCGGCUCAGCCGAGGUGGCAGCCGGGUCGUUUUCCGCGCAGUUCCAUCGCCACUGGCAGCGUCGUGGGCGGCAUCUGUCCGCUGUAAUGACGGAUGCCUUCCACUGCAUGGAACAGGCGUUGACGCAUGGGCGGCGCCGCGCCACUUCUCCGUCGCUGCUGCCGCUGUCAAGCAGCACUGCAGCACCGAUCACCGCGACCGCGCCAGUGUCGAAAACGUGUGACGGCAGCGGGGGUGCCAGCGACGACGUCCGUGGCAGAAACGACGCGGAUGAUGGCGCUGCUACGGCACGUUUUCUUGCCGCCCUCGUGCACAGCCCUGCGGGGGAGUUUGCGGCGAGCAGCAGCAGUGCUAGCAACGACACAUGGACGGCGGCGUUGUGUGACAUCGCCGCAGACUUCUACGCCGUGUACGACCAGAGCUGUUUCUUUAUUCUCCGCCCCGAACGGCAGCGACUCUUCACCCUCUCUGUGCGGCGGCUCUACCAUCUCCUGAUGGGCCCGCCAGACGGAAGCUCCGCCGGUUCCUCUCCGUCCCGAGCCGCAGCUUCCCGCUCAGCCACAAAGACGACGCCACCGCCCCCCCAGCAGCCGCUUGUGUGCCUCCUGCGUCGUGACACGCGCUUGUGGAUGCUGCUGACGCAUGGUGUGCUGCUGCAGCUGGAGCGGCGAGGUCGCGUGGCGCGCGAGGAUGAGGCGCUGCUCGCGUCUUACCUCCUGCCGCUCAUGACUCUCUUAGGGAGUAGGCAGCACGACGGUGAAGUCGAGCGGGGUAGCGCAGACCGCUCUCUACCAUACAUAGCGACAGAGGCGUCGCCGGUGUGGGCAGACACCGCUGUCGCCGAGGAUAUUCUGUUGCUCCUUGCCAGCGGCCUCGCCUCGCUCCCGUGGAACUUGGAAGAGGUCUAUGUCACGGUGCAGCGGCACACAGCCCUGUGUCUGCGUCACUGCACGCGGCACCAAGGGCGGCUAUCGGCUAACGGGGCGGCGACGGUGACGGAGAUGGCGGCGUGGUUCGGUGCUGCCGAGCUUGCGAGCACGUCAGCGCCGCCAGCAUCCUCGGCGACUGCCGUGGCCUCGCCGUGGGACUUCUCUGGCCUCGCUGAGGUGGGCUCCCUAGCUGCGCGGAGCGGCGGAGGUGCAGCAGCCCUGGCCAGAGAGACGGCGCAGAUCGACGCGCAGUGCCGCCGAGACAACCCGCUCCUCGCGCACCGCGGAGACGAAGCGGCGUCGGCCUUCGCUGCCGCUGACGCGCACAACCCCACGUUAACAGCACUGCCCUGCCUUUCUGAGGACGCCAUGGACGCGCGCUUCGCUGCGGCUCUCGCCCGCCACGGCCGCCUCGCCUCCGCCUCUCUCGCCUCAGCGCCGUGCGGGCUGCUGAUGGUGGUCGGUGCCUACCGCAGCUGCGGCCGCGCCCUCCACGGCCUCCGCGCUGCGCUGGAGGAGCAGCAUCGCAUGGCGCGUGAGGACGAGGUGGGCGAGUUCGUUGGCCGCACCGUCACCUUCUGCACUUCGGAGGACAUCACCGCCUUCCGCGCUCUCGUGACGACGGUGCACAGCUGCGUCUUCGGCUAUGCCUGUCAGCCACGCGGGCUGCUGCGGCUAUGGCUGGGGUACCUCCAGCACCUCUUCGACUGCGUGGUGCCGCGGUCGUCGGCGUCGUCGUCGUCAGGGGACCCCCUGUGUACCGAGGGAGAAGACACACUCGUGCUGAUGCCGAGCAGCUGGCAGCGGCGACACCACAUAACAACCUUGUUUGGUGCGCGGGUGCACCGCACCGGGUGGCGGGCGCUGCAGCACGACGGCGAGCCGGCAUCGCAGACGCGGCUGCGGGAGGUGCUGGGCGAGUGCUUGGCGAACCUCAUGUUGCUGCCUUACUCACACACUCGUGGAGAUGCCGACCGCAGUGAGAAUGACGCAGCAAUGUCGACGGUGGCGUCUGAGCACAAGGGCGCGGCCGCCGCCACGCAGGCGAUUCUGCAGCGCACGCUACCUCACACUGUGCUGGAGAUUCUAUGCGAGCUGCUUCGCAUACCUGUUGAAGGCAACCGGGAUAGUGCGAGCUACAGGGAGAAGGUCGCCGCCGUGGACGCGGGUGGAAAGGCCAUCGAAAAGAGUUUCCUCGGUCUCGCGGGGCUUCUCGCCUUCCUUCGUCGGCUGGAGCUGCUCGUGGUUCCUGGCAGCCUGCAGGAUCGUCGCCUUGUCCACAUGCUGCGACGCGUGUACGAGGCAGCUGACGCGGCAGCGCUCGGCAUCUGAGCACGCGCUCCACAGUCGCCCCUUCCCUCUCGCUUUCCGGGCCUAUUCAGAAGUGUGAGGGCACACUUCGGCUUUCUCUCCUCCACGCGUCGGUUUUUGUUUGCCGCAGAGCAAAACGCAAGCGCCGCUCGGCCCUGCUACAGCCCCCCCCCACCAUCACCACCACCAGCACCGUCUGCGUGGUGCGAUGCGGUCGUAGAGACACGCGUCGGCACAGCAGUGCACAGGCCCAGCCAUCUGAGCAUGACUCCUGCCUCCAGCUCUGCCCACCCCCACCCCACCUUGCUGGUCGCUGCGACGUAACACCAUCCAGGACCUGGCCACCGACAUUUAUAGCGACACAUCUCACCGACCUCCUCGUGGAGAGAGCGGGGGAGGGGGGCAUGUGCGCGUCUGCUGCGGCAUAUGUCUCUGCGUCCGUCCGCCGGUCGGUCUUUGCAGGGUCGCACAUAGGGAUCGAGCCUCUUCCACUCACCACCUCAAUGAAGCGAACGCACAUGUGUAUGCACACGACGAAGUGCCUACGCGCGUGUGCCGCGGUCCGUCACCGCGAGUGCCAUGAUGAUCCCGACAACGACUCACUGC
Molecule: unclassified non-coding RNA, 5316 nt
Filed under: Leishmania donovani
Lineage: Eukaryota; Euglenozoa; Kinetoplastea; Trypanosomatida; Trypanosomatidae
Description: gene:LdHU3.03.0940(CDS-product:hypothetical_prote in_conserved)
Source: RNAcentral